CUCUUAUCGAGAGGGUGGAGGGAGACGGCCCGAUGAAACCCGGCAGCCUGCGGCUCCAGUCCGCAAGGUGCCAAGUCCGCCGGAUCCGUAAAGGGUCCGGAAGAUAAGAG
RNAcentral lists this non-coding RNA (110 nucleotides) under Chloroflexota bacterium. RNAcentral's name for it is "Chloroflexi bacterium SAM-I sequence". It matches the Rfam family "SAM riboswitch aptamer (S box leader)". Rfam says of the family: The SAM riboswitch is found upstream of a number of genes which code for proteins involved in methionine or cysteine biosynthesis in Gram-positive bacteria. The SAM riboswitch acts at the level of transcription termination control. Lineage: Bacteria; Bacillati; Chloroflexota. The record is from RNAcentral.